GCUACGUAAGCUCUCUGAUGCAGUCGAGCGGAACGACACUAACAAUCCUUCGGGUGCGUUAAUGGGCGUCGAGCGGCGGACGGGUGAGUAAUGCCUAGGAAAUUGCCUUGAUGUGGGGGAUAACCAUUGGAAACGAUGGCUAAUACCGCAUAAUGCCUACGGGCCAAAGAGGGGGAUCUUCGGACCUCUCGCGUCAAGAUAUGCCUAGGUGGGAUUAGCUAGUUGGUGAGGUAAUGGCUCACCAAGGCGACGAUCCCUAGCUGGUCUGAGAGGAUGAUCAGCCACACUGGAACUGAGACACGGUCCAGACUCCUACGGGAGGCAGCAGUGGGGAAUAUUGCACAAUGGGCGAAAGCCUGAUGCAGCCAUGCCGCGUGUAUGAAGAAGGCCUUCGGGUUGUAAAGUACUUUCAGUUGUGAGGAAGGGGGUGUAGUUAAUAGCUGCAUCUCUUGACGUUAGCAACAGAAGAAGCACCGGCUAACUCCGUGCCAGCAGCCGCGGUAAUACGGAGGGUGCGAGCGUUAAUCGGAAUUACUGGGCGUAAAGCGCAUGCAGGUGGUUCAUUAAGUCAGAUGUGAAAGCCCGGGGCUCAACCUCGGAACUGCAUUUGAAACUGGUGAACUAGAGUACUGUAGAGGGG
This 640-nucleotide ribosomal RNA is filed under the name Vibrio sp. MR06-55. RNAcentral's name for it is "bacterial SSU rRNA". It matches the Rfam family "Bacterial small subunit ribosomal RNA", at positions 41 to 659 of the family's 1533-position model. Lineage: Bacteria; Pseudomonadati; Pseudomonadota; Gammaproteobacteria; Vibrionales; Vibrionaceae. The record is from RNAcentral.